GAAAAUUCUCAGGGACAGAGCCAGGCCUCAGUGGCAUGUGUGUAGAGGGAGAUGCACCUGUCUAUCUGAGGGUAGAUUUUUGAUCCCUGAACAAUUCAUUGACUACCCUUUCUCUCUUCCAUCCAGUUAAAUAAAAUAUCUACCACUGUAAAUUGUGAUGGUAGCUUCUCUCUCAGUUGUUUCUAUUUUGUAAAUCACUGCAUGACCAAAAUAGCCCCCACUCAAAAUCGAUUGGGUCAAUUUUAGUGAUUAGUUGGAUGAAUAUUCUUGAUGAAUAUAAUACGUGUUUUCCUUCACUGAUGACACCACUAACCUAUCGGCCAUAGCACAGGUGUAUUUUUUUUUUUUUUUACUGCUAUUUGAUAAAUGGUAGUGAUGGAUUUGCACUUUUCUGUCCACAUACUCUUUCCUGUUUUUCUCUUUGGACAAUCGCUUCCAGAAUGAUGGAUGCCAGGGUUAAGGGUGAAGUCUGUAACCGAGGAAAACAAAGUUGACCGCUCAAAUAAGCAUGUGACCCAGAGCUUUAGCCUCCUGGGUGGACUCUAAACCAGUUGAGCUAGCUUAGUGGGUUGUGUGCAUGUCUGGAAAGAUUAAAAUUUAUUGUUUAGAAACCAAGGUUGUAGGUUUGAUCUUUGAAAAAGCCCUGGGAUCUUACAAAAAAAAACCCAGAAAUUCUGUUCUUUCUAUGUGCGUAAGGAGGAAUGAGGGAAGAGAAUUUGGAGAUUCAGCACAAAACCAUUGCUACUACUACUGGAAAAAAUCUUUAGAAAAUGUCUUAGUAACUGAGGUCAGUAAUGUCAUCUUCAUAUAUGAAGGACAUAUACAUGAUACAUUGUUCACAGAAAUAGAAAUGUAUAAUUGGUUGUGAUAAAUGUUUCACUUGAUCUUCCUAUAAGGCUUUUAUUUUUGCUUCUGUUUUUCAAAGUCAGCAAAACUUAUGUGUUUAUGUCAUCAGUAAAUCAUAAUCAAGAAUAGGAGAUAAGUUGAUAAGUUCAAUUAAUAUUAAGGUGACAUGGCAAUAUUGAUAACUCGAAUGUGAAUGUUUCAAGUAUUGAAUUUUUGUCCCUAUGGGACAUUUAUUAAAUAUGCUUAAUAGGACUCUUGCAAAGUAGCCUUAAAAGUGUUAAUGAUUCUGUUAAUAAAUAUGAACACAUCCUAUUAUUAUAACCAACUUUACUCAUAUCUCAAAUACAGUACAUUUAUGUAAUUUUAGAAGAUGAAGCUCCAAUUUCUUAUUAGGUGUAUUUUUCUUUAGAAAGAGAACCCUGAAAGCUGCCAGUUUUUCUAGUAAACCUUGAAUUAUUGGAAUUGUAUUUAUUUAAUUUUAUUGUUUUUACAAAAAUGCACCUUGUGGCCAAAGGGCAAAGUUAUGACUCAUUACAUAAGGGAUUUAUGUUUUCUGAAGAGCUAAAUGUUUUCGUAUCCAUACUAUAUACACUUGAAACAGUUGGUAGGAAGAGAACCUGUUGGAAAAAUAUGAUUUUCAAAAGUAAAUAUUCCUCUGGAUGUUUUUAUAUUAAUUAAGCUUUGGAAUAGAACAGCAAUGGCUUUCAGUUAGAAUAUGGAUGAAAAGGGGGCUGAAGGUGCCCUGCUUUGCUUAUUUGUUUCUGUGGGGAUUUAUUUAAUACCAUGACCGACAAUAGCUUCUGCUUCACUAAGAGAGUAAAAAUAGUCCCACAAAUAUAAAACUCCUAAAGAGCUAUUUUUUAAAUAAAAAUGUUUAAAUUUUGUAAAUCACUUGAUGCCGCAACACAACCAUGAUGCCACGUGCUUAUAACAGUUUUAUACCAUUCCGUGUGUGCUUCCCUAACAGUCAUGAGUUGAUAAUAAAGGAAGUGAUAAAAAAUACAGCAAUGAAAAAUAAAAUCUCCAUGUUUGUAGGAAAGGUUUUGGAAGGAAAAUUGACCAGAACUCAGUAUGUCCUGCAAAGUACAGCCAGUUAUAUCAUGUCCUUCACCCUCAUCCCCAUGCCUACUGGGAUCCUCACCAAUAAUAGUUCACUGAUUAGAAAAACAGGAGUAAGUACUUUUUCCAAUGUUGUUUGCCUAUGCAAAUGUUUGUUUUACUUUAAUGUCCUCCACUUACACUUCUCAGCAAAUGUAGUUUCAGACAAAUGCUUUUACUUUUUUCAUUUUUCCCUUGGUUUGGGGUAUGUAAAUAGCCUAAAAUGUACAUUGAAUUUCACAUUGUAAAAGUUUUAUUUUAUUCCUUGUAUUAUAUUAAGCAAAAAUCCCUAUGUAUAUGAAAGUGCAUAAUAAAUAUAUUUGCUUUACAGAGG
This 2278-nucleotide long non-coding RNA is filed under the name Phocoena sinus (vaquita). Its description in RNAcentral is "lncRNA (ENSPSNG00000003845.1)". Lineage: Eukaryota; Metazoa; Chordata; Mammalia; Artiodactyla; Phocoenidae. The record is from RNAcentral.